AAAAAAGCAAAGACCAGUGAAAAAUAAUGAGCCGGUCUUUCGUCAACUUCAGGGAAAUUAUUUGCACCGUUUAAUGGGUGAAUCACUGGAGGUUAUGCCAUUGACAGAAGAUUCAAUCCACGGUGCGACAUCA
Molecule: small nucleolar RNA, 133 nt
Organism: Cryptomeria japonica (Japanese cedar)
Lineage: Eukaryota; Viridiplantae; Streptophyta; Pinopsida; Cupressales; Cupressaceae
Product: small nucleolar RNA snoR74
Exons: 1
Source: RefSeq, a predicted model, not a curated record